This 64-nucleotide transfer RNA is filed under the name Hymenobacter sp. RNAcentral describes it as "tRNA-Lys". It matches the Rfam family "tRNA". Rfam says of the family: Transfer RNA (tRNA) molecules are approximately 80 nucleotides in length. Their secondary structure includes four short double-helical elements and three loops (D, anti-codon, and T loops). Further hydrogen bonds mediate the characteristic L-shaped molecular structure. tRNAs have two regions of fundamental functional importance: the anti-codon, which is responsible for specific mRNA codon recognition, and the 3' end, to which the tRNAs corresponding amino acid is attached (by aminoacyl-tRNA synthetases). tRNAs cope with the degeneracy of the genetic code in two manners: having more than one tRNA (with a specific anti-codon) for a particular amino acid; and 'wobble' base-pairing, i.e. permitting non-standard base-pairing at the 3rd anti-codon position. The record is from RNAcentral. Lineage: Bacteria; Pseudomonadati; Bacteroidota; Cytophagia; Cytophagales; Hymenobacteraceae.
GGUAGCUCAGUGGAAGAGCGCCUGGCUCUUAACCGGGUGGCCGCAGGUUCGAGCCCUGCUGCCA